RNAcentral lists this transfer RNA (67 nucleotides) under Pycnococcus provasolii. It matches the Rfam family "tRNA". Rfam says of the family: Transfer RNA (tRNA) molecules are approximately 80 nucleotides in length. Their secondary structure includes four short double-helical elements and three loops (D, anti-codon, and T loops). Lineage: Eukaryota; Viridiplantae; Chlorophyta; Pseudoscourfieldiophyceae; Pseudoscourfieldiales; Pycnococcaceae. The record is from RNAcentral.
AAAAUAGCUGAGGCCGGUUUUAGCGCUAGAUUGUGAUUUUAGAGACGCGGGUUCAAAUCCCGCUUUU